UAGUAUAUGCGAAUCAAAGAUGCCAUCAGGCUUAAUAGGGAAUCCGGAGAGAGCCGGAACUGCCCCCGCAACUGUUAGCGUUCGCGAAAUGGAUCAUCCACUGUGCCCAGGUACGGGAAGGACCAUAGUAGAAUCGAGCGUAAGUCAGGAGACCUGUCUUUAUUCGCUGAAGUUU
RNAcentral lists this non-coding RNA (175 nucleotides) under Halobacillus halophilus. The record is from RNAcentral. Lineage: Bacteria; Bacillati; Bacillota; Bacilli; Caryophanales; Bacillaceae.